Molecule: long non-coding RNA, 801 nt
Organism: Apis laboriosa (Himalayan honeybee)
Lineage: Eukaryota; Metazoa; Arthropoda; Insecta; Hymenoptera; Apidae
Exons: 4
Source: RefSeq, a predicted model, not a curated record
CAGCGUCCAAACGCGAGAUGGCGUUGAUUCUAAAUAUCUUUCGCUGUUUAACUUACGAGCAAAAUAUAUUCCGUGCAUAUACUUGGACGAAAGUUUGUGAGAUCAAAAAAAAAAACGCGAUACGUAUAGUAAUUAUAAUUUAAAAAUCGUUUAAGCGGGAGUAUAUGAUAAUGAUUGCAUAAAGAGGGAAAAUAAAGAAAGAAUCCGAGAAAUAUAUAUAUUACUAUACGUAUAAUAUUUAAUUAAUUAAUAUCCAGUCAUUCUUAUUUGAAAACCAUUUUUCGCGUUGAGAAAAAACUUUUGAUACAUCGAAGACUAAUUUUAAUGAAAUGGAAUGAUUUACGUCGAUCAUAUUCAAUCAAUCGAAAAGGGAAAAAAAAAAAAGAAGAAAAAGAAGAGAAUCGAUGGAUGAAAUGCGUCGAUGUUGUUUAAAAAUGUAGCUGAUAAUUUUGUCUUACGAUACAAAACAACGCAUUGUUGAAAUUGCAUAUAAUAUAAAUACAAGAAUGAAAUCGAACGAUGGAAGAAUCUCUGAUAUUUAUCGUUAUUAAAAGAAUUUAUAUUCAGAUAUAUAAAAGAUGACACUGAUCUCGAGAAUAACUUGCUUUUAACAAAAAAUAUUAGUACAACUUUCAAAAUCAAAUAUGAUUAGAAAUAUCCGAAUUUAUAUCCGAGUAGUAGAACGCCAACCAUCCAAGUACUCAAACUUCGAAAUCAAACUCGAUAUUACUUGGUAAUAAAAAAUUCUGUCAUAUUCUACCUAAAUAUACUCGGAGAUAAGAGAUGAUUCUAUGAAAUAUC